Molecule: long non-coding RNA, 1873 nt
Organism: Chinchilla lanigera (long-tailed chinchilla)
Lineage: Eukaryota; Metazoa; Chordata; Mammalia; Rodentia; Chinchillidae
Exons: 2
Source: RefSeq, a predicted model, not a curated record
UGGAGGAGCAGGGAUUAGAUGGGGUAACCUGAUCCCAGUGGCACAGGGGUGGGGAGACCGUUCAGCCACUCGGGGAUCCCGGUGGCCUCUGCCUACCUAAAGAGUCACAGGACAGCCGUAAUAAGCCUCCCUCAAUGCCUGCUUUGUGUGGCCCAGGAUAAUGAUUUACUAACUACAGGAAUCGGGAGGUGUGAAAGAAGAUGGCUUUCUUAACCCCCAUUGUCUCCCGGCUGGAAUGUCUCUCCGCCCGCCCCACUGCACCUGUGCACACGGUAGAGGAUGGCGCAGGUGAAGAGGGUCCAGCUGGCUGUCCCUAUGCUUUCUUUCCAAAGAUUGGAUGGAGUGGGAGCCUGCUCAGCGUUUCUUGGAAGUGAAGCUGCCCAUGAGAACCCAGUCAUCGGGCCCAGCCACACUGUGCUCCAGUCCCCAAAGAUCACCAGCCACACUGAGCUCUGGAGGCUUGGAGUAGGAGCGGCCUGGGGACUGUCACUGGGAGAGCAGCUAAUGGAGUGAUGAGAGAGCGUCGCCUACUAGUCUGGAGCUGUCGCAUGUGGCCGCCUGGCUGACCAGAGGGCAGGACCUGGGCGGGGCUGGAGACGCCUGCAGGGCCUGGCCCAGCUGCUCGGCCUGCAGUGCACACCCCUGUGCGCACAUAGGCGCUUAGGGUACACGGUGAGGAGAUUUGACUUGCAGAUCAGCGCAACCUGCAGUUGAGGAGAGAGUUGGGAGCACUCAAUGACUCUAGGCACGUUCCCUCUGCUCUCAGAGCCUCUGUUUCCCCUCCUGUGCCACAAGGUACAGUGCAGGUGUUUGCAAACUCCCACGGACAACCUAAGCUCACCGUCUGGUCCCCAGAGGGGAUCCUCAUGUCAUGGAAAGGCUACUGUCCUCCCUGGAAAUCUCCACUUGCCCAAAGGUUGUUGGGACUGGUUGUUGGGACAGGCAGCACACACAGAGGCUGCCACUGACAGACAUAGGGUAUGAUGUGCUGGGUGCAGCCAGGAAGCUGCAGGCCCCCCUCAGCCCAUCCUACUGUCUCUGUGCAAGUCGGGAACAGCAGUGUUCCCACUGCAAAAGGACAGACAGAAGCAGCCGCGGCUGCCCUCAAGGCUUCUGCGCACCAGCCCAACCCUGGCCAGAGUUCCUGAGUCAUACACACACACACACACACACACACACACACACACACCCCUCCUGUCUCCUCCCCCAGGGCCGUGGGAGGCGCAGCUUGUGCCCAACAGGCUCCCUCUGGCUUGUGAGUUGGUGUGAGGGCCGCUAUCCAAGACGGCUACCUCCUGCUGGUUACUUACUGUGGACACCACAGGCCUCCAGCUUCUGCUUCUCCAGGCCAGACUCUCUGCUGUCCCAGGGGACCUGGAUUCUGACCCUCCCUGUGACUCAGAGACAGCGUGGGGACAGACAGAUCGGGUGCGAGGUGCUGGGGCCUACCUCCCCGUACCGAUAGCUUCCCCAUAUUCUCUCUCACCCCAGUGUGAUAGGGUCUCAGGGGGCCACACCACCCUUCACUCCGAAAGUGAAGCAACGGGCUAAGAUCGGUGGUGUGUUUAUCUACUUCUUCCCUUAUGCUGGGGCUCCCUGUGGACAGCGCAAUUGAAGGAAGGGGCACUGACAGGACGAACUUGGGGAUCAUUAGGCCAAUAAAAUCAUCUGUAGGUCCUCAGUUGCUAGCCCAGGAUAAGUCUUUGAAGGAUGAUUUUCUUCCUUUGCUUUUUAAAAUCUGGAGGAUAGGUUGUUCACAAAAACAGAUCUUUAAAGGGGGUGGAAAGUUAAAACAAUCAAGACUCAUACCAAUACCCUGCCGUGAAUAUACUCAUUAUGUCACAAAUAUAUACUAAUAAAUUUUUUAAAAACA